RNAcentral lists this transfer RNA (72 nucleotides) under Moheibacter sediminis. It matches the Rfam family "tRNA". From Rfam's summary of the family: Transfer RNA (tRNA) molecules are approximately 80 nucleotides in length. The record is from Rfam by way of RNAcentral. Lineage: Bacteria; Pseudomonadati; Bacteroidota; Flavobacteriia; Flavobacteriales; Weeksellaceae.
GCUCCGUUGGUCAAGCGGUAAAGACGGUUGACUUUCUAUCAGCAAUCAGGGGUUCGACUCCCCUACGGAGUA